UACAGAGACUGCAAGCGUUGUUCGGAUUUACUGGGCGUAAAGGGUGCGCAGGCGGCCGGAUGUGUCGGGUGUGAAAUUUCGGGGCUCAACCCCGAAACUGCGCCCGAAACUAUUCGGCUAGAGUACUGGAGAGGGAAGCGGAAUUCACGGUGUAGCAGUGAAAUGCGUAGAUAUCGUGAGGAACACCAGUGGCGAAGGCGGCUUCCUGGACAGUUACUGACGCUCAGGCACGAAAGCGUGGGGAGCGAAAGGG
RNAcentral lists this unclassified non-coding RNA (253 nucleotides) under uncultured Verrucomicrobiota bacterium. RNAcentral describes it as "uncultured Verrucomicrobia bacterium contains 16S-23S intergenic spacer region". It matches the Rfam family "Bacterial small subunit ribosomal RNA", at positions 524 to 776 of the family's 1533-position model. The record is from RNAcentral. Lineage: Bacteria; Pseudomonadati; Verrucomicrobiota.